RNAcentral lists this ribosomal RNA (492 nucleotides) under uncultured bacterium. Its description in RNAcentral is "partial 16S ribosomal RNA". It matches the Rfam family "Bacterial small subunit ribosomal RNA", at positions 29 to 507 of the family's 1533-position model. The record is from RNAcentral.
AGUGAACGCUGGCGGUAGGCCUAACACAUGCAAGUCGAACGGCAGCACAGUAAGAGCUUGCUCUUACGGGUGGCGAGUGGCGGACGGGUGAGGAAUACAUCGGAAUCUACUUUUUCGUGGGGGAUAUCGUAGGGAAACUUACGCUAAUACAGCAUACGACCUACGGGUGAAAGCAGGGGAUAUUCGGACCUUGCGCGAUUGCAUGAGCCGAUGUGGAAUUAUCAAGUUGGCGGGGAAAAGGCCCACCAAGGCGACGAUCCGUAGCUGGUCUGAGAGGAGGAUCAGCAACACUGGAACGGAGACACGGUCAAGACUCCUACGGGAGGCAGCAGUGGGGAAUAUUGGACAAUGGCGGCAAGCCGGACGCAGCCAGACCGCGUGGGGGAAGAAGGCCUUGGGGUUGUAAAGCCCGUUUGUUGGGAAAGAAAAGCAGCAGGGUAAAAACCCGCUGUUCUGACGGUACCCAAAGAAUAAGCACCGGCUAACUUCGUG